GGGUUGUGAGGUUAAGCGACUAAGCGUACACGGUGGAUGCCCUGGCAGUCAGAGGCGAUGAAGGGCGUGCUAAUCUGCGAUAAGCGCCGGUAAGGUGAUAUGAACCGUUAUAACCGGCGAUACCCGAAUGGGGAAACCCAGUGUGAUUCGUCACACUAUCAUUAACUGAAUCCAUAGGUUAAUGAGGCGAACCGGGGGAACUGAAACAUCUAAGUACCCCGAGGAAAAGAAAUCAACCGAGAUUCCCCCAGUAGCGGCGAGCGAACGGGGAGGAGCCCAGAGCCUGAAUCAGCAUGUGUGUUAGUGGAAGCGUCUGGAAAGGCGCGCGAUACAGGGUGACAGCCCCGUACACAAAAGCGCAUAUGCUGUGAGCUCGAUGAGUAGGGCGGGACACGUGGUAUCCUGUCUGAAUAUGGGGGGACCAUCCUCCAAGGCUAAAUACUCCUGACUGACCGAUAGUGAACCAGUACCGUGAGGGAAAGGCGAAAAGAACCCCGGCGAGGGGAGUGAAAAAGAACCUGAAACCGUGUACGUACAAGCAGUGGGAGCCCCACCACUAAGCCAGUGGUGAACUCCACAUACGCAU
This 586-nucleotide ribosomal RNA is filed under the name Salmonella enterica subsp. enterica serovar Typhi str. CT18. RNAcentral describes it as "partial 23S ribosomal RNA". It matches the Rfam family "Bacterial large subunit ribosomal RNA", at positions 1 to 585 of the family's 2925-position model. The record is from RNAcentral. Lineage: Bacteria; Pseudomonadati; Pseudomonadota; Gammaproteobacteria; Enterobacterales; Enterobacteriaceae.